RNAcentral lists this ribosomal RNA (497 nucleotides) under uncultured bacterium. RNAcentral's name for it is "partial 16S ribosomal RNA". It matches the Rfam family "Bacterial small subunit ribosomal RNA", at positions 28 to 507 of the family's 1533-position model. The record is from RNAcentral.
GAUGAACGCUGGCGGCGUGCCUAAUACAUGCAAGUCGAGCGAACAGACGAGGAGCUUGCUCCCCUGACGUUAGCGGCGGACGGGUGAGUAACACGUGGAUAACCUACCUAUAAGACUGGGAUAACUUCGGGAAACCGGAGCUAAUACCGGAUAAUAUAUUGAACCGCAUGGUUCAAUAGUGAAAGACGGUUUUGCUGUCACUUAUAGAUGGAUCCGCGCCGCAUUAGCUAGUUGGUAAGGUAACGGCUUACCAAGGCGACGAUGCGUAGCCGACCUGAGAGGGUGAUCGGCCACACUGGAACUGAGACACGGUCCAGACUCCUACGGGGGGCAGCAGUAGGGAAUCUUCCGCAAUGGGCGAAAGCCUGACGGAGCAACGCCGCGUGAGUGAUGAAGGUCUUCGGAUCGUAAAACUCUGUUAUUAGGGAAGAACAAAUGUGUAAGUAACUAUGCACGUCUUGACGGUACCUAAUCAGAAAGCCACGGCUAACUACGUG